RNAcentral lists this ribosomal RNA (507 nucleotides) under uncultured Glomeromycotina. RNAcentral describes it as "SSU rRNA". It matches the Rfam family "Eukaryotic small subunit ribosomal RNA", at positions 591 to 1092 of the family's 1831-position model. Lineage: Eukaryota; Fungi; Glomeromycota. The record is from RNAcentral.
CCAAUAGCGUAUAUUAAAGUUGUUGCAGUUAAAAAGCUCGUAGUUGAAUUUCGGGAUUGACGUGAUGGUCGUGCCUUAAGGGGUAUGAACUGUCGCUGUUGAUUUCUCACCUUCUGGAGAAACUUGAUGUCCUUAAUUGGGUGUCUUGCGGAUCCAGGACCUUUACCUUGAAAAAAUUAGAGUGUUUAAAGCAGGCAUUUUUGCUCGAAUACAUUAGCAUGGAAUAAUAGAAUAGGACGGCAUGGUUCUAUUUUGUUGGUUUCUAGGAUCACCGUAAUGAUUAAUAGGGAUAGUUGGGGGCAUUAGUAUUCAAUUGUCAGAGGUGAAAUUCUUGGAUUUAUUGAAGACUAACUACUGCGAAAGCAUUUGCCAAGGAUGUUUUCAUUAAUCAAGAACGAAAGUUAGGGGAUCGAAGACGAUCAGAUACCGUCGUAGUCUUAACCAUAAACUAUGCCGACUAGGAAUCAGACGAUGUUAAUUUUUUAAUGACUCGUUUGGCACCUUACG